GGAAGCUACUGUAUUAGAAAGGGGCGAAAGUUAGGAGAAAAACAAAAAAGAGAAGGACAGCAGAAGUAGAAAAUAAUAAGAAGAAGAAUAUUUAGGAUUUAGGAGUAACAACUAUAUAUAAUAUGAGAGUGGUAAACGAAGAGAAGGGAUCGAGCUUUUGAGUUGUUUAUCCAUCGUGAUCAGGAAUAAGAUAUGAGUGAAGUAUUUGGUUGAGAUGAGUCGUAGGAAUUGCACAUGUUAUCAGGGUUGGCGGCUGGCGCAUUUUGGCAACCUUCUCCUCCUCAUCAUUUUUGCAUGUAGAUAAAUGUUUAGUAUAUAGAGUGGUGAGAUGGUCCCACUACUUUUUAGAAUGUUUGAAAUAUGUACUUGAUAAAUAGUGGUUAUUUGUUUUAA
Salvia hispanica is the source of this 393-nucleotide non-coding RNA. The record is from RefSeq and is a predicted model, not a curated record. NCBI's taxonomy places the organism in Eukaryota, Viridiplantae, Streptophyta, Magnoliopsida, Lamiales, Lamiaceae.